This 506-nucleotide ribosomal RNA is filed under the name uncultured bacterium. Its description in RNAcentral is "partial 16S ribosomal RNA". It matches the Rfam family "Bacterial small subunit ribosomal RNA", at positions 29 to 523 of the family's 1533-position model. The record is from RNAcentral.
AGUGAACGCUGGCGGUAGGCCUAACACAUGCAAGUCGAACGGCAGCACAGGAGAGCUUGCUCUCUGGGUGGCGAGUGGUGGACGGGCGAGGAAUACAUCGGAAUCUACUCUGUCGUGGGGGAUAACGUAGGGAAACUUACGCUAAUACCGCAUACGACCUACGGGUGAAAGCAGGGGACCUUCGGGCCUUGCGCGAUUGAAUGAGCCGAUGUCGGAUGAGCUAGUUGGCGGGGUAAAGGCCCACCAAGGCGACGAUCCGUAGCUGGUCUGAGAGGAUGAUCAGCCACACUGGAACUGCGACACGGUCCAGACUCCUACGGGAGGCAGCAGUGGGGAAUAUUGGACAAUGGGCGCAAGCCUGAUCCAGCCAUACCGCGUGGGUGAAGAAGGCCUUCGGGUUGUAAAGCCCUUUUGUUGGGAAAGAAAUCCAGCUGGCUAAUACCCGGUUGGGAUGACGGUACCCACAGAAUAAGCACCGGCUAACUUCGUGCCAGCCGCCGCGGUAA